RNAcentral lists this ribosomal RNA (502 nucleotides) under uncultured Glomeromycotina. Its description in RNAcentral is "partial small subunit ribosomal RNA". It matches the Rfam family "Eukaryotic small subunit ribosomal RNA", at positions 591 to 1092 of the family's 1831-position model. The record is from RNAcentral. Lineage: Eukaryota; Fungi; Glomeromycota.
CCAAUAGCGUAUAUUAAAGUUGUUGCAGCUAAAAAGCUCGUAGUUGAAUUUCGGGAUUUAUCCGUCGGUCGGGCUUUUGGGUCUGUACUGGCGUGAUGGAUUCCUACCUUCUGAAUAACCGGCAUGUCAUUUAUUUGGUGCGCUGGGGCAGCAGGACUGUUACCUUGAAAAAAUUAGAGUGCUUAAAGCAGGCUAUUGCCUGAAUACAUUCGCAUGGAAUAAUGCAAUAGGACGGCAUGGUUCUAUUUUGUUGGUUUCUAGGAUCACCGUAAUGAUUAAUAGGGAUAGUUGGGGGCAUUAGUAUUCAAUUGUCAGAGGUGAAAUUCUUGGAUUUAUUGAAGACUAACUUCUGCGAAAGCAUUUGCCAAGGAUGUUUUCAUUAAUCAAGAACGAAAGUUAGGGGAUCGAAGACGAUCAGAUACCGUCGUAGUCUUAACCAUAAACUAUGCCGACUAGGGAUCGGACGAUGUUAAUUUUUUAAUGACUCGUUCGGCGCCUUACG